RNAcentral lists this ribosomal RNA (368 nucleotides) under uncultured organism. Its description in RNAcentral is "bacterial SSU rRNA". It matches the Rfam family "Bacterial small subunit ribosomal RNA", at positions 526 to 896 of the family's 1533-position model. The record is from RNAcentral.
CGUAGGUGGCAAGCGUUGUCCGGAUUUAUUGGGUUUAAAGGGUGCGUAGGUGGCCCUGUAAGUCAGUGGUGAAAUAUCUCAGCAUAACUGAGAGGGUGCCAUUGAUACUGCAGGGCUUGAGUACAGAUGAGGUAGGCGGAAUUGACGGUGUAGCGGUGAAAUGCAUAGAUAUCGUCAAGAACACCGAUAGCGAAGGCAGCUUACCAAGCUGUAACUGACACUGAGGCACGAAAGUGUGGGGAUCAAACAGGAUUAGAUACCCUGGUAGUCCACACUGUAAACGUUGAUGACUCGAUGUUGGCGAUACACAGCCAGCGUCCAAGAGCAAUCGUUAAGUCAUCCACCUGGGGAGUACGCCGGCAACGGUG